Molecule: small nuclear RNA, 304 nt
Filed under: Chinchilla lanigera (long-tailed chinchilla)
Lineage: Eukaryota; Metazoa; Chordata; Mammalia; Rodentia; Chinchillidae
Description: 7SK RNA (ENSCLAG00000021661.1)
Rfam family: 7SK RNA
About the family: 7SK was discovered as an abundant small nuclear RNA in the mid-70s but a possible function has only recently been suggested.
Source: RNAcentral
GGAUGUGAGGCCGAUAUGGCUGCGACAUCUGUCACCCCAUUGAUCGCCAGGGUUGAUUCGGCUGAUCUGGCUGGCUAGGCGGGUGUCCCGUCCUCCCUCAACACUCCCUGUGAGUCCCUCCCAAAGCUGCGUGCUCGGCUGAAGAGGAUGACCACCCCUGAAAGAGGAGGACCGUUCCUCCGUCAAGGGCUUACAAGCAGCUGCAUUCCCCUGCUAGAAACUCCAGACCAGCUCUCAAGAAGCAGAGGUACUAAUUCCCAAGCCCGAGUCCAUUAUCAUUAUUGUUUUCCACAUAUUAUUAUUU